Molecule: ribosomal RNA, 32 nt
Filed under: Citrus maxima (pomelo)
Lineage: Eukaryota; Viridiplantae; Streptophyta; Magnoliopsida; Sapindales; Rutaceae
Description: partial 28S ribosomal RNA
Source: RNAcentral
UGCGACCCCAGGUCAGGCGGGAUUACCCGCUG